GUUCAGGAAGCUAGAAGUCCUAGAUUUUGGCAGAAUUGGUUCCUUCCGCGGGCUGUGGGGGAGGAUCUGUUCCUUGCCGCUCCCAGCUUCUGAUGGUUUGCUGGCAAUCCUUGGUGUCCCUUGGCCUCUGCUGCAUCACCCCAGUCUCUGCCUUCAUCUUCACAUGGUACUUAGCCUAUGUGCAUGUCUUUGUGUUCAGAUUUCCCCUUUUUAUAUGUACAACAAUCGAAUUAGGGGGCCACCCUAUGCCAAUAAGACCUCAUCUUAAUUAUAUCUGCAACAACCUCAUUUUCCAAAUAAGGGCACAUUUUGAGGUACUAGGGGCUAGGACUUCAACAUAUGAUUUUUGGUGGAAGGGACACAAUUCGACCCAUAACACCAUGGAAGCCUCUAUUCUAACUAGUGGACCACAAAGGCUUUUUAGGUCUCAGCAUUUGUGCUGGCUUAGGGCCAGUUUCCAAGUAAUCCCUAAAGGCCUGGGCAUUUCCAUUUCCCUAAGCACACAUGCAUAGUUACAUGGCUUAAGAUCCCUUUGGGGAAAACGAGAAGAUUUAUGAUAUAGUUAUGGUGGUAUUGCUGGGUGCUUCCUCCAGAGUACCCUGCACCCCCUUUUUCAAGGGCUUCAGCUCUGAGAAUUGUCUGUAAAUCUCCAUUUUGGUGACUCAAAACAGGCCUCUAUUUGCCAGACCUGAAGAUUUGUUUUGCGUUCUAUAAGCCAAAUAGAACCUUGGUAGGUAACCCAUGUAUUUCAUCACUACAGCUCUGUUGCCUUGGUACUACCCCUUGGCCACUGGCACUGCAGGAUCCCAUCAUCUCUACUGAUAUCAGGGAUUCCUUUACAAUGGUAACAUCUCUUAGCUUCAUUUCCAGCCUAGGGAAGGUACACACUACAAACUUUUCAAGAUAAGGUGUUUCCCUUGUUUAAAGUACUUUUCAAUUCCUUGCUGAAAGAAAUAACCUCUUGGCAAUUUUGAAGGGCAAAAUUAGGAGGUGCAGGGAAAUGUGUGAAGUCUGGCUGCAGUGCCCAAGAGAUAAGAAUCUUCUAAGCUGGCUGUUGUCCAGACUUGCCAUCCUCAUUGUAGUAAAACACUGGCCAGGAAGACAAAAGUGCAU
RNAcentral lists this long non-coding RNA (1113 nucleotides) under Homo sapiens (human). Its description in RNAcentral is "non-protein coding lnc-HPCA-1:1". Lineage: Eukaryota; Metazoa; Chordata; Mammalia; Primates; Hominidae. The record is from RNAcentral.